CUGAGCGGCCCACGGGAGCAGGCAGUGAGAGGCGCCACGAGAGGCACGGCCAGGGCAGGAGACACCCCUAUCAUGAACACCCCGUCCCCAGGACAGGCACGGGCACAGGCCCAGGUGUCGGGUCCUCACCCACGCCCAUGUGGCAGGCCCACACCCACACGGCAGGUCCUCACCCACCUGCACGUGGCAGCUCCACACCCAUGCCCACACCAUAUGGAGGACCCAUGCCCACGUGGAGGGUUCUCACCUACACAAUGUAGGUGUGGGUCCUCACCCACGCCCACGUGGCAGGCCACGCCCUCACCCAUGCCCAUGAUGGCCACAUGGCAGGGCUCACCUAUGCCCACAUGGGCCUCCAGGAUCAUGCUGACAUCAUUUGCGCCAUCGCCAAUGGCUAAGGUGAUG
This is a non-coding RNA of Oryctolagus cuniculus (rabbit), 405 nucleotides long. Lineage: Eukaryota; Metazoa; Chordata; Mammalia; Lagomorpha; Leporidae. The record is from RefSeq and is a predicted model, not a curated record.